RNAcentral lists this transfer RNA (75 nucleotides) under Vibrio phage 70E38.1. Its description in RNAcentral is "tRNA-Thr". It matches the Rfam family "tRNA". From Rfam's summary of the family: Transfer RNA (tRNA) molecules are approximately 80 nucleotides in length. RNAcentral also lists the same sequence under 285 other names. The record is from RNAcentral. Lineage: Duplodnaviria; Heunggongvirae; Uroviricota; Caudoviricetes; Demerecviridae.
GCUCUUAAAGCAUUGAUGGCGAUGCACUGGAUUUGUAACCCAGGGAACUUGGUUCGAUUCCGAGUGAGAGCACCA